AGUACUUGACCGAAGAGUUAUCCUUUGUUUUCGUCACUGCUCUUUCGGCAGCCGUAGAGGGAGGAGGAGGGCAGGAGGGGGGAGCGGGGGGGACC
RNAcentral lists this non-coding RNA (95 nucleotides) under Polytomella parva. The record is from RNAcentral. Lineage: Eukaryota; Viridiplantae; Chlorophyta; Chlorophyceae; Chlamydomonadales; Chlamydomonadaceae.